AUGAUGUCAUAGUAGGGGAUUUCCAUCUAAGGGAAACAACUCGUGGUUUCGAGAAAAAUCUAGCUCGGUGAACGACAAAUAACUUUGUUGUUUACUACUUUGAAACCGUUCCAGGUUCUGGUUUAAAGUUAACAGAUCAAAAAAGGCUAUACACUUUCUUGGUGAAGCUGAUUCUACAAUAUUUGUGACAACUUCCGCAAACUUCCAAGGUACUUGGGGUUAUGAUUUCUUCACCUUACUACAGGUAUUCUGCAUACUUCUGUGGAUUGGUUUCUUUCAGUGUGGAACGGUAGUUUUUAGGCUUUGCCAUCUUGUAAAUUCUGUAAAUAUUAAUAAAAUUUGUCAAAUA
Molecule: long non-coding RNA, 349 nt
Organism: Patella vulgata (common limpet)
Lineage: Eukaryota; Metazoa; Mollusca; Gastropoda; Patellidae
Exons: 3
Source: RefSeq, a predicted model, not a curated record